UACUAGAACUUUCCAGAGAUGGAUUGGUGCCUUCGGGAACUUAGAUACAGGUGCUGCAUGGCUGUCGUCAGCUCGUGUCGUGAGAUGUUGGGUUAAGUCCGCAACGAGCGCAACCCUUUUCCUUAUUUUGCCAGCGGGUAAUGCCGGGAACUUUAAGGAUACUGCCAGUGACAAACUGGAGGAAGGCGGGGACGACGUCAAGUCAUCAUGGCCCUUACGGCCAGGGCUACACACGUGCUACAAUGGUCGGUACAAAGGGUUGCUACCUCGCGAGAGGAUGCUAAUCUCAAAAAGCCGAUCGUAGUCCGGAUCGCAGUCUGCAACUCGACUGCGUGAAGUCGGAAUCGCUAGUAAUCGCGGAUCAGAAUGCCGCGGUGAAUACGUUCCCGGGCCUUGUACACACCGCCCGUCACACCAUGGGAGUUUGUUGCACCAGAAGUAGGUAGUCUAACCGCAAGGAGGACGCUUACCACGGUGUGGCCGAUGACUGGGGUGAAGUCGUAACAAGGUAGGCGUAGAUGA
RNAcentral lists this ribosomal RNA (522 nucleotides) under uncultured bacterium. Its description in RNAcentral is "bacterial SSU rRNA". It matches the Rfam family "Bacterial small subunit ribosomal RNA", at positions 987 to 1509 of the family's 1533-position model. The record is from RNAcentral.